AUUGAACGCUGGCGGAAUGCUUUACACAUGCAAGUCGAACGGCAGCACGGGUGCUUGCACCUGGUGGCGAGUGGCGAACGGGUGAGUAAUGCACCGGAACGUAUCCAAUAAUGGGGGAUAACGCACCGAAAGGUGUGCUAAUACCGCAUACGCCCUGAGGGGGAAAGCGGGGGAUCGUAAGACCUCGCGUUAAUGGAGCGGCCGAUGCCGGAUUAGCUAGUUGGUGAGGUAAAGGCUCACCGAGGCGACGAUCCGUAGCGGGUCUGAGAGGAUGAUCCGCCACACUGGGACUGAGACACGGCCCAGACUCCUACGGGAGGCAGCAGUGGGGAAUUUUGGACAAUGGGCGCAAGCCUGAUCCAGCCAUGCCGCGUGAGUGAAGAAGGCCUCGGGUUGUAAAGGACUCUUUCCGGUGGGGGUAAGGAAAGUUGUACACAGGAGUAAUAACCUUA
This 452-nucleotide ribosomal RNA is filed under the name uncultured bacterium. Its description in RNAcentral is "bacterial SSU rRNA". It matches the Rfam family "Bacterial small subunit ribosomal RNA", at positions 29 to 468 of the family's 1533-position model. The record is from RNAcentral.